GACGAACGCUGGCGGCGUGCUUAACACAUGCAAGUCGAACGGAAAGGCCCUGAAGUUGUGGUGUGCUCAAGUGGCGAACGGGUGAGUGACAAGAGAGUAACCUGCCCUUGACUCUAAGGUAACGUCAGGAAACUAGGGCUAAUACCGGAUACGAGCUACUGCUGCAUGGUGGGGGUUGGAAAGGUUCGGCGGUUGGGGCUGGACUCGCGGCUUAGCAGCUUGUUGGUGGGGUAGUGGCUUACCCAGGCUUUGACGGGUAGCCGGCCUGAGAGGGUGACCGGCCACAUUGGGACUGAGAUGCGGCCCAGACUCCUACGGGAGGCAGCAGUGGGGAAUAUUGCACAAUGGGCGGAAGCCUGAUGCAGCAACGCCGCGUGCGGGAUGACGGCCUUCGGGUUGUAAACCGCUUUCGCCUGUGACGAAGCGUGAGUGACGGUAAUGGGUAAAGAAGCACCGGCUAACUACGUG
Molecule: ribosomal RNA, 468 nt
Filed under: uncultured bacterium
Lineage: Bacteria
Description: partial 16S ribosomal RNA
Rfam family: Bacterial small subunit ribosomal RNA
Source: RNAcentral